This 750-nucleotide long non-coding RNA is filed under the name Olea europaea subsp. europaea. The record is from RNAcentral. Lineage: Eukaryota; Viridiplantae; Streptophyta; Magnoliopsida; Lamiales; Oleaceae.
UCAGGACAUAAUAUAGUAAUACUACACAAUAAGAACAAUGUCAUAUUUGGCACAGAUCACGCAACUAGCCAUCUGAAUCGACAUUUUUGAGGCACGACCAUUUGUUUGUACUGCUGUGCAUAAUGGUGAAUUUAAGUGCAUGACAAGCCAGCAUCUUUGAUGGAAUUGAAAGUGUCGAUCCACUUGUCGUCAAUAUAGUUAAUGACAUUCCACGAGAUAAUAACGAGUCUUUUACUAUUCUUGAACUUGCUAUGUUAAUCAAUCUAAAACACACUAAAAGUGUUAACUGUCUUUCAUUCUAUUACACAAUUAUGUGAUUUAGUUAGUUAUUUAUUUAUUUACUCUGUGUGUGUCAACUAAUAUGUUCAUUGCAACUAAGAUUUACAAAGUAUAAUGAUAUAAUUGCUUUUCUUUUGCAGCCAUGAUGACGAAGGUGUAUUUGUGACAAAGUAUGUGGAGUUCAUUAUCAAUGAAAUGAUACAUGAUAUGUUAGAAAACGUGGUUCCAAAGAUCACAAGGGCAUACCUGGCUUGUCAACUAUAUAAAUAUGAAAUCCAAAAGAGCAACGGAUAUUAUGAAUCAGAUGUUGAUCUCGUCCCAGGAGUAUCGGGAAAGCGAUGAAGGCUAGGAAUGUCGAUAAUAUCUAGAAGUCAAUCAAGGGGAAAAAAUUAGUCUAUUUUGUUGAUACCCAUCAAACAUUUGUUGACGUCUUUUUACUUUUUUAGCCAUGUUAGCAAAUUUGUGCCUGAU